UGGGGAAUAUUGCACAAUGGAGGGAACUCUGAUGCAGCGACGCCGCGUGAGUGAUGAAGGAAUUCGUUUCGUAAAACUCUGUUCUAUGGGAAGAAAAGGACUGUACCAUAGGAGAAAGCUCCGGCUAAAUACGUGCCAGCAGCCGCGGUAAUACGUAUGGAGCGAGCGUUGUCCGGAAUUAUUGGGCGUAAAGGGUGCGCAGGCGGCUUUACAAGUUGGAUGUGAAAUAUUGUGGCUCAACCACAAACGUGCAUCCAAAACUGCAAAGCUUGAGUUAAGGGGAGGUAAGUGGAAUUCCUGGUGUAGCGGUGGAAUGCGUAGAUAUCAGGAGGAAAACCGGUGGCGAAGGCGACUUACUGGACUUAAACUGACGCUCAGGCACGAAAGCGUGGGGAGCAAACAGA
Molecule: ribosomal RNA, 404 nt
Filed under: Fusobacteriota bacterium
Lineage: Bacteria; Fusobacteriati; Fusobacteriota
Description: Fusobacteria bacterium partial 16S ribosomal RNA
Rfam family: Bacterial small subunit ribosomal RNA
Source: RNAcentral